AGUGAUCUGUGUGUUUUGUCGUUGUGAACUGAGCAAUCAUCGCAGGAUGUCCAGUCUGAAAUACCACUUGAUGGCCAAGCACACAGCUGACGCCAAUUCUCCGCCCCCUCGUCAAGGACAGGCGACAGAAGCA
Etheostoma cragini (Arkansas darter) is the source of this 133-nucleotide long non-coding RNA. RefSeq lists it as uncharacterized. Lineage: Eukaryota; Metazoa; Chordata; Actinopteri; Perciformes; Percidae. The transcript has 3 exons. The record is from RefSeq and is a predicted model, not a curated record.